GUGUGUGUUUGUCUUCGCAUCUCUAAUGGCGAUUAGUGUUGAGCAGACGAUUUUUCAUCUUCUUCCUUAAGGAAGGAACGGUUCAUCUACGAUGUAUAAAGAGAUUUUGCAAGGCCAUGAUGUGAAAAGAUACAGCAAGCUUAUGGGGUCGAUCUACUUCUUCUCGACGAUACGGUACCUCUGGCGAUUUGAAAAAUAAACGCUUCCAUUUUCCUGAUUUAUAGGAGGGUGAUGGGAGACGACUAUUUACAGUGAAUCUCUGGAGCGAGAAGAAAUCCAGACCAAAUGACACGAACAGUAUCUCGCUCCAACGACGUCUAAAUGGGUUUUUGGAUUUUUACCUAUCCUUGCAGGCUGGAUUGUAAACCUUCAACGAGUCAUAGGAUUAUGAACUGAACGUGAUCUUUCUGUAAGGGUCAAUACCUAUGGCAAGACAACUGAUUUUGCUUCUAAUUAUAUCAUCAUAUAAUUUAAAAUUAAAACCUCAUGUUGGAGAAAAAUUGCAAUUAUAAAUGAAAAUUGUUGGUGUUUAUCUA
Long non-coding RNA from Brassica napus (rape), 536 nucleotides. RefSeq lists it as uncharacterized. NCBI's taxonomy places the organism in Eukaryota, Viridiplantae, Streptophyta, Magnoliopsida, Brassicales, Brassicaceae. The transcript has 3 exons. The record is from RefSeq and is a predicted model, not a curated record.